This 810-nucleotide long non-coding RNA is filed under the name Felis catus (domestic cat). Its description in RNAcentral is "lncRNA (ENSFCAG00000053342.1)". Lineage: Eukaryota; Metazoa; Chordata; Mammalia; Carnivora; Felidae. The record is from RNAcentral.
UACAAACUGGGCAUUUUGGUAGAAGCGCAAGUGAUCUCUGCCUACGGGGCCCUGAGCCCAUGACACCAUCCAGUCAGGAGCCAGCAGGAGAGAUAAGCCGGGAGAAAUGUUGCAGAAACGCCUGUUGUUGGAGCAGCCGAGGCCUGGGAAAGAAGUUCUGCAAUCAGAUCUUUAACUGCAGAUGGGCACGUGAGCGGUCUCCGUAGGGCUUCCUUCUCUUCCACCAGCAGGAGAUCCCGUUCUAUUAGGGAAUGAAACUGAGGAAGGAGAUCCAAGCCAUGCUGGGAAAUGAAGUCCUCUUCCCAGGUUGGCCACUAAUGAAAACCUCCAUCCAGAUGGAGACCUCUUCACCAGAAGUGUUAGAGAAAAGGCCAGUCUGCAUGGUCCAAAGGCAAGAAAUUAUAUAAAAUAACGUCUUUCCUUUGAAAUCAUGGACCAGAAGAGAGGGUCAGCAUUAAGAGGAGCUAUGGCCAUUUGCAACUACAUGGAUGGAACUAGAGGGUAUUAGUCAGUCAGAGAAAGACAAACAUCAUAUUCACUCGUAUGAGGGCUUGAAGAGACAAAUCAGAUGAACCUAAGGGAAGAGACACAAAAAUAAUAGAAAAACAGGGAGGGGGACAAAACAGAAGAGACUCAGAAAUAUGGGGAACAAACUGAGGGUUGUGGGAGGGGUUGUGGGGGGGGGGUGGGCUAAAUGGGUCAGGGGCACUAAGGAAUCUACUCCUGAAAUCGUUGUUGCACUAUAUGCUAAUUUGGAUGUAAAUUUAAAAAAAUUAAAAAUAAAACAAUUUAAUUAAAAAAAAAAAAAGG